GUCGAACGCGUUGGCCCAAUUGAUUGAUGGUGCUUGCACCUGAUUGAUUUUGGUCGCCAACGAGUGGCGGACGGGUGAGUAACACGUAGGUAACCUGCCCAGAAGCGGGGGACAACAUUUGGAAACAGAUGCUAAUACCGCAUAACAGCGUUGUUCGCAUGAACAACGCUUAAAAGAUGGCUUCUCGCUAUCACUUCUGGAUGGACCUGCGGUGCAUUAGCUUGUUGGUGGGGUAACGGCCUACCAAGGCGAUGAUGCAUAGCCGAGUUGAGAGACUGAUCGGCCACAAUGGGACUGAGACACGGCCCAUACUCCUACGGGAGGCAGCAGUAGGGAAUCUUCCACAAUGGAC
Molecule: ribosomal RNA, 352 nt
Filed under: Limosilactobacillus fermentum
Lineage: Bacteria; Bacillati; Bacillota; Bacilli; Lactobacillales; Lactobacillaceae
Description: bacterial SSU rRNA
Rfam family: Bacterial small subunit ribosomal RNA
Source: RNAcentral